RNAcentral lists this long non-coding RNA (801 nucleotides) under Manihot esculenta (cassava). Its description in RNAcentral is "long non-coding RNA (MESC_LNC001265)". Lineage: Eukaryota; Viridiplantae; Streptophyta; Magnoliopsida; Malpighiales; Euphorbiaceae. The record is from RNAcentral.
AUUGUAGCUUCCCAGUAUAAAAAUUCUUUAAUUUUCAGCCUUUUUUUCUUCAUUUUCUCAACUUCUGCUCACUAACCUGUUCAAAAUCAAAUUCAAAUUAAAAUUUAAAUAUUUAUAUCAAAAUUACAGUAAAAUCAAGAAAUUAAAUAAGGAAAAAAUGUGAAUUUUACAACUCAUCAGAUUCCCCCACACUUGCACCUUUGCUUGUCCUCAAGCACAGAAAUUAAAAUGAAACAAUGAAAUACAGCCCUGUCCUCAACCAAUCUGAAAUUUAAUUUAUCCAAAACAAAGAACCAAAUUGUCAUGCAAUAGGAUGAUAGCAGAAAUAGCUUAAUUUCACCAAAGUUCACUUCAACAAGUUUCAUAUUUAAAAUAUGUUUCUCAAGUCAUAAAGUUGGUCCUCAAUUCAAUUUCAAACACAUAAAAUAUUAGAAUGCCAUAUAAUAUUAAACUGCCCUUUUGAAAGAAUAGAAUCUUAGAACUCUUGACUAGGCCAAUAAAAUUUAAAGAUUUGGGGGUUUAUUAUUUAUUAUUUACACUUCCUACUAUAUCUUACCUGAAACCGAUAAAGUGAACGUGAAACAAAUGGUUACUGAGCCACUUGCCCUAGGUUAUUCAGCUCAGGUGGCUACUAGCUCCACUCAUAAUUACCCAAUAAAAAGGUAUGGACGAGUUUUUUAAACGGCCCAAAAGGGGUGAUACUCUCCCAAACACCGAUUUCUCCAUACAGAAUUACCUUAAGGGGUCACCAAGUACCGCACUACUUGGGCCAUCGGGUUGGUAACCAAUUGAUCAAGCAAC